AACAAAGGCAAACCUAGGUUCCGUGCAACGUUUGACUGUCGUCUAUAUAAAAUUUUUUUAUAAUUAGUAUUUUUAUUGUUGUUAGAUGAUAAAACAUUGAUUAAUACUUAUGCGUGAUUUAUCUUUUUAAUUUUUUCAUAAUUUUUUUAUACAAGACGGACGGUCAAACGUUGGACACGAAAACCAGGGUUUGUCUUUUU
MicroRNA precursor from Oryza sativa Indica Group (long-grained rice), 200 nucleotides. It matches the Rfam family "MIR812 microRNA precursor family". The record is from Rfam. Lineage: Eukaryota; Viridiplantae; Streptophyta; Magnoliopsida; Poales; Poaceae.